CCACCACCAAAGCAUUUGCUGUACCGCGUUGACGGAGCGAAGCGACGUCAAACCGAUAAAACAGCAGUGUAAAGUGAGCCGCAGGGCGCUUUGCGCGACAGCGCAAAGGCAGGCGGUUUCGCGUAGCGAAAGCGAAUGCUUUGGGGUGGGGUGACUGCGUACCUUUUGUAUAAUGGGUCAGCGACUUAUAUUCUGUAGCAAGGUUAACCGAAUAGGGGAGCCGGAGGGAAACCGAGUCUUAAUUGGGCGUUAAGUUGCAGGGUAUAGACCCGAAACCCGGUGAUCUAGCCAUGGGCAGGUUGAAGGUUGGGUAACACUAACUGGAGGACCGAACCGACUAAUGUUGAAAAAUUAGCGGAUGACCUGUGGCUGGGGGUGAAAGGCCAAUCAAACCGGGAGAUAGCUGGUUCUCCCCGAAAGCUAUUUAGGUAGCGCCUCGUGAAUUCAUCUCCGGGGGUAGAGCACUGUUUCGGCUAGGGGGCCAUCCCGGCUUACCAACCCGAUGCAAACUGCGAAUACCGGAGAAUGUUAUCACGGGAGACACACGGCGGGUGCUAACGUCCGUCGUGAAGAGGGAAACAACCCAGACCGCCAGCUAAGGUCCCAAAGUCAUGGUUAAGUGGGAAACGAUGUGGGAAGGCCCAGACAGCCAGGAUGUUGGCUUAGAAGCAGCCAUCAUUUAAAGAAAGCGUAAUAGCUCACUGGUCGAGUCGGCCUGCGCGGAAGAUGUAACGGGGCUAAACCAU
RNAcentral lists this ribosomal RNA (746 nucleotides) under Salmonella enterica subsp. enterica serovar Enteritidis. RNAcentral's name for it is "partial 23S ribosomal RNA". The stretch from base 79 to 746 matches the Rfam family "Bacterial large subunit ribosomal RNA", at positions 1 to 1190 of the family's 2925-position model. The record is from RNAcentral. Lineage: Bacteria; Pseudomonadati; Pseudomonadota; Gammaproteobacteria; Enterobacterales; Enterobacteriaceae.